GCUAAUUGUAACUUUUAUGUGGUCAAACUUAUAACUCCUACAUUUUGAUUUUGCUUGGAAAGUACUUCCUUACUCUAAGAAUGUUUAAAAAUAUACUAAACAGAUUAUCUUUUCUUCUGGUUUUUGUCUAUCUUUUGUGCUUGCACUUUCAUCAGCAUUUAAUUUCUCAUUAAGGAGUUGCUAACCAGUUGUCUCAACAUAAUUUAUCAAAAGGUCCAUCCUUUCUUUUUUUGAUAAGAAAUCUGCCCCUCUUUUACAUACUAAAUUUUGAUGUUUAUUUCCAUUAUUUGUGGACUUUCCUCUACCAUGGCUAUUGCCUCAUCACAGGUAGUAGACAAAAGCAAAUUCAUUAUCAUGCUUUAUAAUAACUGGUAAGAUGAGUUCCUCUCAUAAUCUUUCACUUUAAUUUUUUUUGCUCAUUCUUGCAUGUUUAUUCUCUACACAAACUUUAGAAAGAACUUAUCCAAUGCCCUUUCUUAAAAAAAAGAAAAAAAACCCUGUUAGUAUUUUUAGUAAGCUUACAUUAGAUUUAUAGGUUCAUUUAGGGACAAUUCACAUUGUUCUAACGGUGAAACUUCUUAUCCAAGACAUCUACUCAAGUUUCUUAAAAAUGUACUUCAGCAGAAUUUCAAAGUUUUCCUCACAUAUGGAGUUGAUUUUUUAUUACAUUUAUUCUUUCAUCUCUUUGUUUGCAAUAUUAAUGAGUUAUGUUCUUAUAUUCAUUUUAUUUUCUAAUUUAUAGUUGUUUUAUUAAGAAAACUAUAUUUAUAUAUUUAUUUUGUUACCAACCUCCUUACUGGAUUUUAAAAAAUAUUUUUAUUAUUUUGUUUUGUUUUGGGUACUGAGGAUUGAAACCAGGGGCACUUAAUCACUGAGUCACAUUCCUAGCCCUUUUAAUUUUUAUUUUGAGACAGAGUCUCAUUGAGUUGUUUAGGGCCUACUUAGUUGCUGAGGCUGGCUUUGAACUUGCAAUCCUCCUGCCUCAGUCUUCUGAGUUGCUAGGAUUAAAGUCGUGUUUCACCAUGCUCUGCUAAUAUUUUAUUAUUAUUUUAGCUGAUCCUUUUGAACUUUCUAAGUAUAUCACAAAUAUGCUAAUAAUGAUAGUGCCUUUGGAAACCAUUGCUUAAAAUGUAAGACUCACUAAAUCAUCCCUCACCUGAUACCAAAUCCAUCUAGGCCCUAUAAUUUUUUCAAAAAGUUUUAGAAUCAGC
This 1211-nucleotide long non-coding RNA is filed under the name Marmota monax (woodchuck). The record is from RNAcentral. Lineage: Eukaryota; Metazoa; Chordata; Mammalia; Rodentia; Sciuridae.